This is a long non-coding RNA of Amphiprion ocellaris (clown anemonefish), 2174 nucleotides long. Lineage: Eukaryota; Metazoa; Chordata; Actinopteri; Pomacentridae. The record is from Ensembl.
CUUUUUUUGGACAAUAUUUCUCAAGCUUUUGAAAAUGUCAUUGGUCUAGCCAGCCCCGCCCCUUUCUGGCCAUCCGUUCCCCUGCUGGGGUGUUGCUGGUCUGUGAGGCUCUCUGCAGCUGCUGAUUAAUGGAUUAGGUGCAGCUGGGAGAGCCUCACACCUGCAGCUCAUACCAUCUGCUAAGAAGACCGGCUUCACAUGGCAGGGGACAUGGGACCAUACUGCCUUGCUUCUAGUUCAGAGAAGACGCUGCAGCACUGAGCCGUGGAGCAGUCUGUCUUCCCCCCAGCCAUCCUCUGAUACGAGGACGAGGAUUUCCUGCCCUCCUCAAGGCGAGGAGGUGAACCGAUCGGCCGGCGUGAGCCCUGGACUGUUGCUCCCCGGUAGCCUGAUUUUGCCCUCCCUCACCUGAAAAAAUACCCUUUCACAAGGAACAGAUGAGGCUGGGGUAUAAAGAAUUUUUACAGCGAGUGUGUGCAAAUUCGGGUGAGGAAGCUUCUGAUGUAUGUGGCUGGGAUGAGGAGAGGAGGACGACGAUGACAUUGAUGGCAACAUGGCAUUGCUUCGCAUUACAGCAGCACACUUGGUUGUGAGCCUCCUCUCAGCCUCUGCUGCUUUAUUAGGGCUAAAGAAUCCUAUUUUUUGAAUCUGGGAUCCAGGAGGGUGGCCAGUGCCAUAAUGCUCAUUGAUUGUAGUGCGUAGAGCUUCUCUCUUAAUUGGUGUUGGAGGGCUUCAACCAGUGCUCUGCUCUUUAGAGUUUGGAUAUUUACUACGUCUUCUUCCUCCAACGCUCAGUGUAGCAUAGUCAAAAGUGGAAUGACUUUAGAGCCAGAUACUAGUUUCUCCUCUGACAGUUCCACUGUUGCAUCAUUGAAAGGUGCCAGUCUGCUAUAAUGUUAUAGUGUUCGGAUGUGAGAGACGUAAGGUCGGUACGCAGGCCUGCCAGAGCUGCUCCUACAGGUUCUCUCAGGUCAUAAAAGCGCUGGAGCAUAUGGUAGGUACUAUUCCACCUUGUGUCCACCUCCUGAAUUAAUUUCAGUGCCUGCUGGCCCAUUUGCUUUUGCACUGUUGUCAGCCUCUCCUUAAAAAAAUGAAAUUAAAAAAUACAUUCAAGUGUCACUGCAGCAGCAAUUUAAACAAAACAAUGUUAUUUGGAAUAAAAACAAGCACUUGCAAUAAAAACAAAUAAAUACUCACCUUUGCAGUGGUGCUACUCUUGAAGUAGCCCACUAUCUUUCUGGACUUUGCACGGAUGUCAGAAACCUCAGGGUUUUGGUCCAGAGCCUUUUUUACAGUUAGAUUCAAAGCAUGCGCCACACAAUUUGUGUGGUGCAAACGGAGCUCCCUGGCACAAGCCUCCAUAUUUGGAGCACCAUCAGUCACUAGGCAGGUGACUUUAUUGAUGAGACCCCAUUCAGACAUAAGUGCCCAUUUAACACUGACCAGAUUUUCAGCAGUAUGGGCCUGGGGGAAAUGCAGCACCCCUAAAACAACGGACUGCAAAGCAGUACUUGCAUCAAUAAAAUGGCAUGUCACCGCCAAAUAUGCAUCCAUGUUUAUCGAGGUCCACAUAUCAGACGUCAAACUAACAGAGGUUGCCUCUUUGGACUUCUUGUAUCUUUUCUCCACCAUAGCUUUUAAAGCCGAAAAGAGGCAAAAUAAAAGAACACUCUUAGAAUGGCCAUUAUGGGGAAAUGGUGAAAAAUGCUUCAUGUGCUCACAUACGUACCUGUCUUGUGGGGAGAACAUUGCUAGGGUUUAAAGCUUGAACAAGCUUCUUGAACCCUUUGUCCUCCACAGUAGAGAAGGGCUGGGAAUCCUCAAUGACCAUGCUCACCAAGGCCUCAUUCACAUCAUUCUCUCCUGAUGACAAAAUGAAAUCACUAUUUGGUUACAUAUAUAUUGACAAACAAGUAAUAUGCAGAAUAUAAAUUAUUGUUUUAUAAUGCAAAUAUAUAAUUCUAUGUUCUUGGGGGUUUUUUUUUGCUGACUUAUCAUUGCAUCCUAAAAUGCCUUACCUGAGCUUGAUCCACCGUGGUUGGUCUCCUUGUUCUUAUGCAGGGCUCUGUAAUGCCUCAGCAUAGAUGAGGUGGUGGUGUUGUAUCCAAGCUCCUUGGAGCACAACAGACACUUCACCUUUUAAAAUACAAAAAAGAAAAGAAAAAAUAAAUUGG